RNAcentral lists this ribosomal RNA (2744 nucleotides) under bacterium (Candidatus Ratteibacteria) CG_4_10_14_3_um_filter_41_18. Its description in RNAcentral is "bacterial LSU rRNA". It matches the Rfam family "Bacterial large subunit ribosomal RNA", at positions 1 to 2530 of the family's 2925-position model. The record is from RNAcentral. Lineage: Bacteria; Candidatus Ratteibacteria.
UUUAUGGUCAAGCAAGAAAGAGCGUACGGAGGAUGCCUUGGUGAAAGAUAGCGAAGAAGGACGUGGUAAGCUGCGAUAAGCUUCGGGUAGCCGCAAAUAGGCUUUGAUCCGGAGAUUUCCGAAUGGGGCAACCCAUCUGCUUUAAUCGGCAGAUAUCUAUCUCUAAAUAAAAUAGGGGCUAGAGGCAAAACCAGGAGAAUUGAACCAUCUUAGUAUCCUGAGGAAAAGAAAACGAAUGCGAUUCCCUUAGUAGCGGCGAGCGAAACGGGAACAGCCUAAACCAAAUAGGGGUAAUAGCCUGUAUGCGUUCUCUAUUUGGAGUUGUAGGACUUAAACAAAGCCAAGAUACAGAUUGGCACAAGGCCUAAAAUUUUUUCGCUUAGUCGAACAGCCUGGAAAGACUGGCUAAAAAAGGUAAUAGCCCUGUAGAUGAAAAGCGAAGAAAGCCUUGAUUAAGUUCCUGAGUACUGCGGAACUCGUGGAAUUCUGUAGGAAUCUGGCCCGACCAUGGGCUAAGGCUAAAUAAAAUCUUUCAACCGAUAGUGAACAAGUACCGUGAGGGAAAGGUGAAAAGAACCCCGAGAGGGGAGUGAAAUAGAACCUGAAACCGUAUGCUUACAAGCAGUCAGAGCCCUAUGCUCUUCCUUAUAUUCGGAAGAGAAUGGGUGAUGACGUGCCUAUUGAAGAAUGAACCGGCGAGUUAUUUAGAGUAGCAAGGUUAAGUCUAUAACAUAGACGGAGCCGUAGCGAAAGCGAGUCUGAAUAGGGCGACAAAAAGUUACUUUAAAUAGACCCGAAGCUGAGUGAUCUACCCAUGGCCAGAAUGAACUCUGCCUAAUCGCAGAGGGAGGUUCGAACCCGUGUAGGUUGAAAACUGCUGGGAUGAGCUGUGGGUCGGAGUGAAAGGCUAAUCAAACUCAGCGAUAGCUGGUUCUCCCCGAAAUAGCUUUAGGGCUAGCCUUCCAGAAAGCGUAGUGGAGGUAGAGUACUAAAUGGAUAAGGAGGCCCACCAGGUCUCCAAAUCCAAUUAAACUCCGAAUUCCAUUAUUGUUGCUGGAGGAGUCAGACUGUGGGGGAUAAGCUCCAUGGUCAAAAGGGAAACAGCCCAGACCAUUAGCUAAGGUCCCUAAUAUGGACUAAGUGGUAAAGGAAGUGGAGUCACUCAGACAAUCAGGAUGUUGGCUCAGAAGCAGCCAUCAUUUAAAGAAAGCGUAACAGCUCACUGAUCGAUUUGAAGUCUCUAAAAAUCGUAAGAUUUGCGAGACUUUUGUAACUCUGCGCCGACAAUGUAACGGGGCUCAAGUCCAUUACCGAAGCCGUGGAUUUAGUUCGUAGUCCAGAGUUCAUAGUUCGUAGAUUUCUAUGAACUAUAGGCUAGUAACUAUGAACUGAAUGGUAGGGGAGCAUUCCCUAAGCGAGUGAAGCCUGACCGCAAGGACAGGUGGACGUAUGGGAAGAGAGUAUGCCGGUAUAAGUAACGAAAAAAUCUGUGAAAAACAGAUUCGCCGAAAGUCUAAGGUUUCCUGGGGAAGGUUAAUCCGCCCAGGGUUAGUCGGUGGCUAAGUCGAGGCUGAAAAGCGUAGAUAAUGCACAAUCCGUUAAUAUUCGGAUACUACCUAAGAACCGUUUUGAGUGAUGAGGUAACGCAGAAGGACAAAUCAGCCACAUAAUGGAUAUUGUGGUUUAAGCCCGUAGGUUGGGAAGAUGAGGAAAAUCUUUAUCUUCCAUUUAAAACCAAGAGGUGAAUAGGAGUUUUCUCUUCGGAGAGAGCGAACUGAUCGAUUCCACGCUGCCAAGAAAAACCUCUAAACAAGGUUUUUGGGUAACCGUACCGCAAACCGACACAGGUAGACAAGCAGAAUAUGCUUAGGCGCUCGAGAUAACUCUCGUUAAGGAACUCGGCAAAUUAACCCCGUAACUUCGGAAUAAGGGGUGCCCUGGUAGUGUGAGGCGUUUUUACAAUUUCUCGCACGAGAGGGUUGCAAAAAAAUGGCUCCUGCGACUGUUUACUAAAAACACAGGUCUCUGCUAAGUCGUAAGACGAUGUAUAGGGACUGACACCUGCCCGGUGCCGGAAGGUUAAGAGGAGAUGUCAUCUGCCCUUUUUGGGUGGAGAAGCGUUGAAUCGAAGCCCUGGUAAACGGCGGCCCUAACUAUAAGGGUCCUAAGGUAGCGAAAUUCCUUGUCGGGUAAGUUCCGACCUGCACGAAUGUUGUAACGAUAGGAGCACUGUCUCAACGAGGGACUCGGUGAAUUUGUGAUACCCGUGAAGACGCGGGUUACCCGCAGCAAGACGAAAAGACCCCGGAACCUUUACUGUAACUUAACAUUGGAUUUUAAAAUAGUAUGUGUAGCAUAGGUGGGAGGCUAUGAAACCGGCUCGUCAGGGCUGGUGGAGCCGCCAGUGAAAUACCACUCUUACUGUUUUGAGGUUCUAACCUUAUUCUGUGAAACCAGAAGAGGGACAGUGUUUGGCGGGCAGUUUGACUGGGGCGGUUGCCUCAUAAAAAGUAACUGAGGUGCCCAAAGGUUUCCUCAAGCCGUUUGGUAAUCGGUUGUAGAGCGUAAAGGUAUAAGGAAGCCUGACUGCGAGACCGACAGGUCGAGCAGAGUGGAAACACGGGCUUAAUGAUCCGGUGAUUCUGAAUGGAAGGGUCAUCGCUCAACGGAUAAAAGGUACUCCGGGGAUAACAGGCUGAUCUUGCCCAAGAGUUCAUAUCGACGGCAAGGUUUGGCACCUCGAU